RNAcentral lists this ribosomal RNA (357 nucleotides) under uncultured bacterium. RNAcentral's name for it is "bacterial SSU rRNA". It matches the Rfam family "Bacterial small subunit ribosomal RNA", at positions 1 to 334 of the family's 1533-position model. The record is from RNAcentral.
CUAGCGACUUCAGAGUUUGAUCCUGGCUCAGGAUGAACGCUGGCGGCGUGCUUAACACAUGCAAGUCGAACGAAGUGCUUUUGUUCAAUCCCUUCGGGGUGCGAACUUAAGUAUCUUAGUGGCGGACGGGUGAGUAACGCGUGGGUAACCUGCCUUAUGCAGGGGGAUAACAGUUAGAAAUGACUGCUAAUACCGCAUAAGCGCACAGUAUCGCAUGAUACAGUGUGAAAAGAUUUAUCAGCAUAAGAUGGACCCGCGUCUGAUUAGCUAGUUGGUGAGGUAACGGCUCACCAAGGCGACGAUCAGUAGCCGACUUGAGAGAGUGAUCGGCCACAUUGGGACUGAGACACGGCCCAA